CACCUCUAGCAUUACAAGUAUUAGAGGCAUUGCCUGCCCAGUGACUAUAGUUAAACGGCCGCGGUAUCCUGACCGUGCAAAGGUAGCAUAAUCAUUUGUUCCUUAAUUAGGGACUAGUAUGAAUGGCUAGACGAGGGAUCAACUGUCUCUUAUUUUUAAUCAGUGAAAUUGACCUUUCAGUGAAGAGGCUGGAAUACAAUAAUAAGACGAGAAGACCCUAUGGAGCUUAAAUUAACAAGCUUAAUUAUUACUUAAAUACCCUAAUGGAACAAAACAAAAAACAUAAGCUUAAAAUUUUGGUUGGGGUGACCUCGGAGAACAAAAAAUCCUCCGAAAGAUAUAUAACAUAGACCUACAAGUCAAAGUAACUCAAUUAUCUUAUUGACCCAAAAAUUGAUCAACGGACCAAGUUACCCUAGGGAUAACAGCGCAAUCCUAUUUAAGAGUCCAUAUCGACAAUAGGGUUUACGACCUCGAUGUUGGAUCAGGACAUCCCAAUGGUGCAGAAGCUAUUAAUGGUUCGUUUGUUCAACGAUUAAAGUCCUACGUGAUCUA
Molecule: ribosomal RNA, 555 nt
Filed under: Hylomyscus pamfi
Lineage: Eukaryota; Metazoa; Chordata; Mammalia; Rodentia; Muridae
Description: partial 16S ribosomal RNA
Rfam family: Bacterial large subunit ribosomal RNA
Source: RNAcentral